RNAcentral lists this ribosomal RNA (253 nucleotides) under uncultured bacterium. RNAcentral describes it as "partial 16S ribosomal RNA". It matches the Rfam family "Bacterial small subunit ribosomal RNA", at positions 524 to 776 of the family's 1533-position model. The record is from RNAcentral.
UACGGGGGGGGCAAGCGUUGUUCGGAAUUACUGGGCGUAAAGGGCUCGUAGGCGGCCAACUAAGUCAGACGUGAAAUCCCUCGGCUUAACCGGGGAACUGCGUCUGAUACUGGAUGGCUUGAAUCCGGGAGAGGGAUGCGGAAUUCCAGGUGUAGCGGUGAAAUGCGCAGAUAUCAGGAAGAACACCCGUGGCUAAGGCGGCUCUCUAGUACGGUACUGACGCUGAGACGCGAAAGCGUGGGGAGCGAACAGG